UGGGCGCCCUGCUGGAGCUCGAUGCGCGGUGAGGACCAGGGAGUCAGCACCGCGGACAGCGGCCGCGCCGCUGUCAAGUCGGACCCGCGACGCCCCUGCUGUCCGGGUGAAUUGAUUUUUGGAGAAAGGGCAGAAGAAACCCGAGACCUAGGGGAAGGCUGGGGAUGGCUCCUGCUUUAACCUCUUCCUUCCCGACCCUGGGUCUGAUUUCAUUCCCUGACUUCUAAUUGGGGGUCCGCCGGAAGCCGCCGGCCAGCUCCGCUCUUCUGCCCAGGUGGGGCUUCUCUAGGUUCUGCACCUCUGGCCCAGCCUGGACCACAGGUUGCCGUUUGUAUUUGCCACUCGCCCAUCAGGAGGCCCUGCCGGGAGAGCUCCUAGGGGUCAAAGGAAACUUCUGGGUGCCCUCAUGUGGCUCGUUUAGAACCUGGCGGAUCCCAGAGAGGCCGGCCCAAAAUGCGGCGGCCUAGGAAAGAAGAGUCUGCGUGCUUUCUUAGUGGCUUGCCACUGGCUCCCGAACCAGCUGACUCCUGUUUCCAUGAACAUAUUAACAUGAAUGAAAUCGCAUUUGGAUUAUUACCACCUCCUAAAAGAGGAUUUAGGAUUACGAGGCUCCUGUCACAAAAAUGCCUUCCUCGUUCCCUGGCUGCAAAAGGAGCCAAAGAUGAGAAAUAAAUAGCUCGGGAAAUUGACAUUGAAUGAAAAUGCCCGCUCCAAAAGCGUGGCUCGACUGAUCACAAUUGAAACCGAGGAACAAAGUCAAAAGGGGAUGGCACCCCAAGCAAGCUGCCGGUGGUGAGCUGUGCCACAGAGCCUUCCACAAAAUCAUGGCAACUGGAAGAGAGAGUUUGGAGACCCAACAAAUGGAGCCUGCGUCUGGGGCAGCGCCCCGCGGGCCGCCCUUCCCUCUGUGGUCAGAUACGUAGAUAAGAAGAAAGUGGUUAACACUGCUCGUCAGCAGAGCAGCCUUGAUUCGUUCAUUCCCGAGCCUGAAACAUCGGGAGUUGGCCCACGGGGUCCUGGAGGAGGAAGAGGCAUUUCAGGAGGGCGCUGGGCAGUCUGCAGACAUCUCAAGGGGGGUUUGUGAAGAGAUGACUGGGUUUCCAGUCCCCAACGACUGAGCCAGACGCUGUUAUCAUUUAAUCUGCCUAUCGACCGAUGAGACCUUUAGGGAAGCAAAACUGUUUAUGGGAUGUCUUUGCCACAUUUGAAUCCUGCGACCUAUGGGGGGAGAACAUAAGGCGAGAUUAGGGCUGUUUCUGGUCCCCAAAUUUCCUGGUUUCAGAUGUCACCAGGAGUGUGGGAGGAGAGCUAUCCUCAGACCUCACAGGACAUUUACAGAGAACAUGUGGACUUUCCCCAGGCCAGGGGUCGUCUAGCAACUUGUCUGCCCAGGAGUGUGAGGCCAGCCGGGUGUCCGGGACACCUGCACAGACUUUGAACAGACAUCACAGAGCUAUGUUCUAGCCUCCAGCUUCCAGCAACUCAUUCCUUUCCUUUCCCUUCAUUUCCCCCAGAACAGGUUGGCCUCGUGUUUUUGUAACUGGACAUUCCAGCCUUAUCAGAGAGCUGGUCAAAUGUUUGUCUUUCAUGGACUUAAUAUUUACUUAUAGUGCAAGAGUGACUAACCACACACAGCACGCUAGUCUCUUAGUUAAUCGAAUCAACAUUCACUUAUUAAGCCCUGAAUUUCAUCCUAGACUCCGGAGUCAGCCUGCCGAAGACUGAAUCCUCCAUCAGCUGUUACCUGUAGGGGAGUUACUUAACCUCUUUGUGCCUCGGUUUCUCUGUCCGUAACAUGGGAUGAUAGAAUUUACCUUAGGUAGUUGUCAUGAGGGUCAAAUGAGGUGAUACAGGUGAAGGACUUAGAAUAGCACCUGGACCGUGGUAAGUGCUCAGUAAAUAUGUCGUCGUAUUAUAUCACUACCACCCCGUGCUGCUGGGCACACAGUGUGCUUCUGUGUUUGCCGGUCCCGGAAGAGAGAAGGACUUUUACUCUUUCAACGUGACAAUGCCACCAAUGCCCCUCACAGUCCUGGUUAUUAUCCUUGGCUAUAAAAUAGCUACAUUACCUUUUUCAGGGCCUGGCGAUACAUGGAAAGGCCCCGUGGUGGUCAGACCUCUUCCUUUAAAGCCUCAUAAUGGAGAUAAUAGAAUGCAAUCAUAAUCAUUUAGGAGUCUGUUAAAGUAAUUAUUGCAAAGUCCCAUCAGGACAGCGUGGCACCAAUGUGAUGCUCAAAUAAUGCUGGGGGGCUGAAGUGUUACGUCUGGGGUGUUGUGUUUUGACACCUGCAUCCUGAAUCUUCCAGGCCCGAAAACUGGAGUGUGUCUGUUGGAAGUCGCUUGGGAUGCUGGGAGCACUUUUGUCCUCAGAGGGAUGAAUCACAGGGCCGGAAGGGUGAUGUGCAAGGGCUAAAGAGAACCGGGGAACUAUUGGAGCACACGGAUGAACUUUUGGGACGGCUGCACUGGCACCAUUGCGGUUCACUUUGUUUUAAUACUUGGUAUUUUCAAAAACUUCCCAAGCCUCUGAGUCUGCUCUGGGCUGUGAUAAAUCCAGUCUUGCGGCCACAAUGAAAUCUUUCCUGAGGAUCGUGUGGGAGUUAAGCUGUGCUCAGAUGCCAGCGUUCCGUCUGCCGUCUUGCAGACUAGCUGUGGGACCUUCUCUGAGCCCCAGACUUGUCGUCUGUCAAACAGGGAUAAUAAUAGAACCGCCUGACACAGUUAUCGUGGGGCUUAAGUGUAAAGCGCCUGGCAUGUGGUCGGUACUAUGCAAAUGCUGGCUAUUGUAAUUAUUAAAAAAUUUGUAUGCUGGUGGGGGGGGAGCUAUCCACUUAACCAAAUAUUCUGAUUAGGGAGGAUCUGGUUAAUUGAGAUUCCUCUGUAAAUAGGAAAGUCUUAGAAAAUAAGUCUGUUUCUAACUGAGGGAAAGACAGAACAUGAUGCGGUCAGUCAGGUUAGGACGUACCGGGCAUUUAAAGGGUCUCAUCUGGGUGAUGUGCUGCUUCCCGGGAGAGGGUUGUAUCUAUGCUGACGCCCCACAAGUACCAGCUGAUGAUGAAAGUGAGGCCGGAUCUUGUCUGCGGCCCUUAUUUGAUGUUCCCAGGCUUGGGUGCCAGGGCAGGUGGCAUCAGGACUUGGGAAUUUCCGCUCUCUCCUUGCUGGGUUCUGUAAAGAGCUCUUUUGCCCAACAAGUCCCUAAAGAUUGUUUCACGAUCUGUAGCUCCCCCAAGAUUGGUCAGAGGUUGGGAGCCUUUAGGGAAGAGAGAGUUCAUCCCAGCAGAAGCUGGUAACCUCAGGUACCUCCAUUAACAUCAGUCCCGAGGGCCAAGCUGGGAGCAGCUGGAGUGCCAGCGGCCUGGGUACCAGGGGCCUCCACCUCAUCCAGUGCCCAGAGCCAGGAUGGCUGCCUUCCAGCUUCAUUACUUGCUAUUGGGGGGCCACAAAAAAGGUGAGCAAUCAGUGCAUGCGUAUUUAUGAUACCCUUGUUCUCGUCGUUCUUAUUACCAUUGAGAUGUAUAAUGCGUUCUGGUCUGCUCAUAAUUAUACGGAAUGUCAUCCUGUAUAUAUUUAAUUGUUAAGAAAUAAAAUUUUAAUU
This is a long non-coding RNA of Rhinolophus ferrumequinum (greater horseshoe bat), 3595 nucleotides long. RefSeq lists it as uncharacterized. The transcript has 3 exons. Lineage: Eukaryota; Metazoa; Chordata; Mammalia; Chiroptera; Rhinolophidae. The record is from RefSeq and is a predicted model, not a curated record.